Molecule: ribosomal RNA, 610 nt
Filed under: uncultured bacterium
Lineage: Bacteria
Description: bacterial SSU rRNA
Rfam family: Bacterial small subunit ribosomal RNA
Source: RNAcentral
CAAAGGAAGCGAUUCCGGCAACGGAUGGGCAUGCGUGACAUUAGCUAGUUGGCGGGGCAACGGCCCACCAAGGCGACGAUGUCUAGGGGUUCUGAGAGGAAGGUCCCCCACACUGGUACUGAGACACGGACCAGACUCCUACGGGAGGCAGCAGUGAGGAAUAUUGGUCAAUGGGCGCGAGCCUGAACCAGCCAAGUCGCGUGAGGGAUGACGGCCCUACGGGUUGUAAACCUCUUUUGUCGGGGAGCAAAUUCCGCCACGCGUGGCGGAGUCGAGAGUACCCGAAGAAAAAGCAUCGGCUAACUCCGUGCCAGCAGCCGCGGUAAUACGGAGGAUGCGAGCGUUAUCCGGAUUUAUUGGGUUUAAAGGGUGCGUAGGCGGACUGUCAAGUCAGCGGUAAAAUACGGGGGCUCAACCUCCGCCCGCCGUUGAAACUGACGGUCUUGAGUGGGCGAGAAGUAUGCGGAAUGCGUGGUGUAGCGGUGAAAUGCAUAGAUAUCACGCAGAACUCCGAUUGCGAAGGCAGCAUACCGGCGCCCAACUGACGCUGAAGCACGAAAGCGUGGGUAUCGAACAGGAUUAGAUACCCUGGUAGUCCACGCAGUAAACG